This 88-nucleotide transfer RNA is filed under the name Micrococcus flavus. Its description in RNAcentral is "tRNA-Arg". Lineage: Bacteria; Bacillati; Actinomycetota; Actinomycetes; Micrococcales; Micrococcaceae. The record is from RNAcentral.
CACCGUGUGGGGCGACCCGGCGCGCUUCUUCCACUCCUAUUGGGAGGACUACGCGGAGCAGGGCUGGUUCCUCGCCGGCGACGGCGCC